AAAUUGAAGAGUUUGAUCAUGGCUCAGAUUGAACGCUGGCGGCAGGCCUAACACAUGCAAGUCGAACGGUAACAGGAAGCAGCUUGC
RNAcentral lists this ribosomal RNA (87 nucleotides) under Escherichia coli. RNAcentral describes it as "partial 16S ribosomal RNA". It matches the Rfam family "Bacterial small subunit ribosomal RNA", at positions 1 to 88 of the family's 1533-position model. RNAcentral also lists the same sequence under 45 other names. Lineage: Bacteria; Pseudomonadati; Pseudomonadota; Gammaproteobacteria; Enterobacterales; Enterobacteriaceae. The record is from RNAcentral.